This is a long non-coding RNA of Helianthus annuus (common sunflower), 249 nucleotides long. RefSeq lists it as uncharacterized. Lineage: Eukaryota; Viridiplantae; Streptophyta; Magnoliopsida; Asterales; Asteraceae. The record is from RefSeq and is a predicted model, not a curated record. The transcript has 5 exons.
AACCCAAGCCCGGACCUUCCAAACAACAAUCUGACUUUGGUCCGACCCAACGGGAGUUAGUGUAUGAUGAUACCGAUAGUGUGUCAGCAAGCCAUGGGAAAAGACGGAAAACAGGUUGUGUGGAAAGCAAACGGGGACAUAACAAAAAGCACAGUGGGAAGAAAAGCAUUGUCGGGGAUAUUUCUGGGUGUGGAAAUAAAAGAAAACGUGGUGAAAGAAACAGCGCCGAUGAUAAUUAUGGCAAUGUAA